GCGUGUGAAUUUUCGCGAGUGAGUACCAUACAACGAAUCUGAUUGCGAGAGGAGGAAGGGGCCUGGGAGGCAUCGAGCGACAGCGGAGCAACGAUAAGUUCAACGUGGUUACUAAUGCAGUUUACAACUCCGCUGCUGCGCAUCGUAUCAAUAACGACACGGAGAGUGAAUCGCGUCAAUCCUACGAAGCUGACAACUGGGACAGCCUGAGAGGAGGAGGCUUAGGAGAAGCAUCGGGCACCGGCGGAGCAAC
Temnothorax curvispinosus is the source of this 253-nucleotide long non-coding RNA. RefSeq lists it as uncharacterized. The transcript has 3 exons. Lineage: Eukaryota; Metazoa; Arthropoda; Insecta; Hymenoptera; Formicidae. The record is from RefSeq and is a predicted model, not a curated record.